This 464-nucleotide ribosomal RNA is filed under the name uncultured bacterium. Its description in RNAcentral is "partial 16S ribosomal RNA". It matches the Rfam family "Bacterial small subunit ribosomal RNA", at positions 30 to 507 of the family's 1533-position model. The record is from RNAcentral.
CGAACGCUGGCGGCGUGCUUAACACAUGCAAGUCGAACGGAAAGGCCCUGCUUGCAGGGUACUCGAGUGGCGAACGGGUGAGUAACACGUGGGUGAUCUGCCCUGCACUUCGGGAUAAGCUUGGGAAACUGGGUCUAAUACCGGAUAGGAACCAUCUUUAGUGUGGUGGUUGGAAAGUUUUUUCGGUGUAGGAUGAGCUCGCGGCCUAUCAGCUUGUUGGUGGGGUAAUGGCCUACCAAGGCGGCGACGGGUAGCCGGCCUGAGAGGGUGUACGGCCACAUUGGGACGGAGAUACGGCCCAGACUCCUACGGGAGGCAGCAGUGGGGAAUAUUGCACAAUGGGCGCAAGCCUGAUGCAGCGACGCCGCGUGGGGGAUGAAGGCAUUCGGGUUGUAAACUCCUUUCGCUAGGGACGAAGCUUUGUUGUGACGGUACCUAGAUAAGAAGCACCGGCUAACUACGUG